Molecule: ribosomal RNA, 76 nt
Filed under: Vibrio parahaemolyticus
Lineage: Bacteria; Pseudomonadati; Pseudomonadota; Gammaproteobacteria; Vibrionales; Vibrionaceae
Also listed under: 1 other name
Description: partial 16S ribosomal RNA
Rfam family: Bacterial small subunit ribosomal RNA (bases 1-67)
Source: RNAcentral
GUUCAUGACUGGGGUGAAGUCGUAACAAGGUAGCGCUAGGGGAACCUGGCGCUGGAUCACCUCCUUAAACGAUGAU